Molecule: long non-coding RNA, 956 nt
Organism: Mugil cephalus (flathead mullet)
Lineage: Eukaryota; Metazoa; Chordata; Actinopteri; Mugiliformes; Mugilidae
Exons: 4
Source: RefSeq, a predicted model, not a curated record
AGUCAGGAAUCACAUCAAUAGUGUCUCUACCUGUGGCUUCAUAUUCAUCAACUGCACCUUACCUAAUGGGACACACAUAUCAGAGUGGGUGUUUGAAGCCAAUAACACACUGUGUAUUAACCCAACUACUGCCCCCACCACUGCCCCAACUACUGCCCCUCCCACUAGUUUGGCCUAUUUGCCACUAAUAGCUGGUGUAUCCUCAGCCCUGGUCAUUGUCUUGGUUGUGGUCUUAUCAGUCAUCUGGGCUCUGAAGAAAAAGCAAAGAAACAACAAACCUAAAGAGGAAGAAAAUGACCAGGAAUUAACCUACGCUGAUGUUAGUAUCGUGCAACAGCAGAGGAAGCAAGCUGAGCAAAGGCCAAAUGUGGAGGUGGAGUACGGUCAAGUCAAGUCACGACCCCGGAAGAUUGAACCAAUAGAAGAUGAUUGUGUGUAUGCAAAGGUCCGUGAAGACAGAUGAUUUAAAGUCUUGCUUAGAAAAAAAGAAAGAUGGAAAUGUUGAAGGCACUUAAUAUUACUGCUGAUAAGAAAAUAAAAUGAAAGACAGACAGACGCCUCCACCAUAUAAAGAGACCAGACAUGUAUUUAUGCACUGCAAAAUGACAGUCAGUCAGGGAGGGAGAUGUAUGUUUUGUGGGUUUCCUUCUUCAGUUUAGUCACAGUUAGUUCCUUUUGUUGCCUCUCCACAUACAGCGUUUGCAUGCAUCCUUCAUCACCUGAGGCUGAUUUGCUCCUGUUAUCGUUCCACAUAGAUCCUGUUUGUAGCUUAGCAGCUGAGAAGUUUCUGCAUUUUUUAUGGAAACUCUGGAAUAAAGUUUUUUUUUUUUUCGGUAAUCCAUGUUCUGAUUUAUGUUAAUAAUUUCAGGUCACCUGUGGUAUUUGACUGUAAGCCAGGAAACACGCAAGGUUUUGCCUUUUGUACAGAUUAACUUAUGUUUGUUUUUGAAAGAGUA